Long non-coding RNA from Ornithodoros turicata, 7667 nucleotides. RefSeq lists it as uncharacterized. The record is from RefSeq and is a predicted model, not a curated record. The transcript has 3 exons. Lineage: Eukaryota; Metazoa; Arthropoda; Arachnida; Ixodida; Argasidae.
GAGCAGAAAUGCUGGUAUCUGAGCACGGAGUAGAAAUUGCUAUAUUUCUCUCCUCCCUAAGAAACUUUGUACGUCGUUUUCCAAGCAGACCGCGUUUAGUUUACGCGAAAUGAACUUAUGUAUGCUCUAUGAUGAUCCGCCGCAGGCUUAGCCCUUUUCCCCGAUCACCAGUGUUUUGGCAUUCGAUGUCGCAUGUCUAGACUUGUUCAGUAGUGUCUUUCUUGCUGCAAUUUUUACCCUUCGCUGAUAUCUUGUUGCUGUCAUGUUGUGCUAGCCGCGUAGCGAUAAGCGGUGAUUCUCCGAUUAUUCCUAGGCGGUACGGCUUAAGCCUUUUCCCUGCUCACUGAAGGAAAUUUGUGUAUCCCUGUCCUGUGCUUUCUUUACGCAAGGGUAAUGCGUCUGUGUAUGUGGCACUAUCAUAUAGCAGACAUGAGUGUCUUUUUCUUGGUUUAUUGGCAUAUGCACCAGGUUUUUUAAGUCAAGCAAAAGUGCGUGUAAUAUUUCGCUGCUCUUUUUCUUAUUUUCUCUACUUUUAUGUAGAAGAAAGCCUCCUGCGUAAAAGCUGAAUAGUGUUCUACCAGUGGAAGUGGGGUUGUUUGUUUGAUUUUGUUGGGUGUUCGAUAUCUUGACGAAGUAAGCAGUGCUUAAUUUUGCAGGUUUUUGAGCAGAAAUGCUGGUAUCUGAGCACGGAGUAGAAAUUUCUAUAUUUCUCUGCUCCUUAAGAAAAUUUGUACGUCGUUUUCCAAGCAGACCGCGUUUAGUUUACGCGAAGUAGAAAAAUGAAGUUGUGUAUGCUCUAUGAUGAUCCGCCGCGGGCUUAGGCCUUUUCCCCGAUGAGCAGUGUUUUGUAUGCGAUGUCGCAUGUCUGGACUUGUUCAGUGUUGCAAUUUUUACCCUUCGUUAAUAUCUUGUUGUUGUUGUUGUCGUCUUGUGUUAGACGUUGAGCUUCGUAGCGAUGUGCGGUAACGCUACGAUUAUUCCUGAGCGCUCCGUGUGUUUAAUGCGUUGUCCUCUUUGCGUGCAUGCGUGUGCUUUUUUUCUCCUGAUUUGUGACGUCCUCGUGGCAUGUCUGGACUUGUUUAGCAGUGUUGCAGUUCUUCCCGCUGCUAGUAUCUUGUUGGUGUCAUGUUGUGCUAGCCGCGUGGCGAUGUGUGGUGACCUGAGGUCUUAAGCCUUUUCCCUGCUCACCUAAGGAAAUUUGUGUAUCCCUGUCCUGUGCUUUCUUUACGCAAGGGUAAUGCGACUGUGUAUGUGGCAUUAUGCAAGAAUUAUCUGGUGGCAGAAAUAGGUGUAUUUUUCUCAGUGUAUUGGCGUGCGCUACGGUUUCUUGCAGUUACAGCUAUUGGAGCACACAUGCGUGUAAUUUUUCGCGGUUCUUUUCUCCUUUCACGGCUUUUACUCAGAAUGUAGAUGAGGGGAAACACUCAGCAUCCAGGUAGAGCAGGAGAAAGCCGCUCGGCAGAGGAGAGAGUUCAUGAGAAUGGAAUUUGUUUGUUUUUUGUUAUAUGUUGAGUGUUAGUAUUCGCUUUCCUCGAUAUGUUGAGGAAGUCAGCCGUUAUAGGUAUUUGUGCAGAAAUGCUGGUAUCUGAGUGUGUGGAGUAGAAAUUCCUAUAAAGCACCUCUCCUUGUGCAUUCCUGAGCUGCUGUGUGCGCGCGCGUGCUUCUUUUUCCUGGAUUGCGACGUCAUGAUGGCAUGUUGGGGCUUGUUUAGCAGUGUUGCAAUUUUACCCGCCGCUAUUAUCUUGUUAUCUUGUGUUAGCCGCGUAGCGAUAUCCAGUGACUCUGCUAUUAUUCCUGAGGUCUUAAGCCUUUUCCCUGCUCACCUAAGGAAAUUUGUGUAUCCCUGUCCUGUGCUUUCUUUGCGACAAUGCGUCUGUGUAUGUGGCACUAUCAGAUACCAGACAUGAGUGUCUUUUUCUUGGUUUAUUGGCAUAUGCUUCAGGUUUUUUUAAGUCAAGCACAAGUGCGCGCAAUUUUUCGCUGCUCUCUUCCUCAGAUCACCGAUUUUACGAAGAAGACAGUCGCAUGGUACAGCUGAGAUGAGGGUUUCUCUGAUUGUUUGUUUUAUUUUGUUGGGUGUUCGAUAUGUUGAGGAAGUCAGCUGUUAAAGGUAUCCGUGAAGAAAUGCUUGCACCUGAGCGCAGGAUAGGAAUUUCGUGAAGCACGGCACCCUCAGUGUAAAUUAAUUAUGUUGGAUAUGAGUCUGCUUCCCUGCAUGACAAGGCUGAAAUGGGAAGAGAGAAAAAAUUGGAGCGCUUCAUUAGUAGCGAUCCAAGUAAUAGGGCAAUUAUAGUUUCCAUAGAAAGUAGAAUUUUAAUGGGCUCCUAAAAUUAUAGUUUAGUUGUAGUUUUUCUAAACUGCAAUGCAAUAAUCAUUAAUAUAGUAUAGGAAUGCUAUCGUGUUCCCGUAAAGACGUUCUGUCUUGUGCUUUGGAAUGCGCGAAUUGAACUUUGCUCGCAGCCUUUCCCGCCUUUAUGCUCGCAAUGCGCGAAUGGAACUUUGCCCACCCGGCUUCCGCGCCUUUUUUGCUCGCAGGUGUAGCCUCAGACAACGAAUGUAUGAGCAUAGAAAGGGUCACGUAUUACAUAAGCCUGGAGGUGAUGUUGAGUGGUCUCACUUAUUAUUUUAAAAGAGCAGUGGCAGUUUACUGUAAUUCUAAUGACCAUGAUGAGCCUUUGGGGUGAAAAUCGUUAAUAUGCGGGGUGCUUUUUUGUUGAAUUUUAAUGAGAGAAUCAAUGUCAUUAAGAGUAGGACAGAGGAAAUAAUCUUGCGAUUCAAUAAAUAAUAGGAGUCUUUGUCGGUGUCUUCUUCAGGCAGGAUGUGAUGACGUCACGCAGUCUGUAGCAAUGCAUUGACCGUUACUGGAAAAAAGUGUGGCAAAAUAGUGUGUGUUGUCCUGGGCAGAUUUAUGAUGAGCACUGUUUUUGAAUAAGAAGAAAUAGUUUGAUGCUGGUUUCCUUUUUGUUUCUUUUCGCUUUUUCCCCCCUUGUCUGACAAACAUGUGCUGACAUGCCUGGGCUUGUUCUGACAUGCUUUCCUUCUACAUGUAGUUUUUUUCUUUUUGUACAAGGCAUAUUCUUGACGAUAGUGCUGCCUUGAAUGGGAGUAGAGCUAUUCUUAAUAAUUUUGCGAUUCAUUUAGUUCAGAGAGUAACCGCGAGGGGGACAGGUGUGUGACUUUAUGUCUUGCUGAACCAUUUUUUUCCUGUACAGUAAGACUUUGGGAAUGAAAUGCUACAAUCUCCUCUUGUCUAUGGUGUUUUUCUGCAAUAGUUCCCUACGCAAUCAUUAUAGUAGAAUAAAGGAAAUAAUCUUGGGAUAGUGAUUCAAUAAAUAACAGGUGCCCUGUCUAGAGCGUACGCGUCCUUGAGCCACGCAGGUGCAUGAUGACCGCAUACCGAGAGACUAUUGUUUCAGGUUGACCUUGUCUAGAGGAGCAUUAGUGGAAAAAAACUGUGUAGCCCUGAGACAAUAGGAUGACGUCACGACCAAUGAGAACGGCCUGCAGGGGGCGCAAGGAUUCACUUCUCUCUUGGACACUGACGGGUCUCGACACGCAAAUUCUGCUCCUGGCAUUGGCCGUCAGUGGAAGAGCGUAGCUUCGGUGGGGUUCUGUCUGCCUCUGAUGGGGUGCGGAUGUGUGGUUCGUCACUGGUGAAUGGUGUUCGACGAUGCAGGUGGAUUUUGUGACGAGCGGAUUUACAAUGAGGGAAUGCUGUGAACGGGAAAAAUGAUGAGCUGUCCUAACUUGCCCAGACAUGCCAUGAUGACGUCACAGCUGACGUCACAGGAUGUCCGGAACUGGUGCUGCGAUGCUUUGCAACUUGCCUCCGUGCUCCGUCGCCCAGCGACAGUCAGCGGCCGUUCCGGACCGCUUUCUACAAGAUGGCGUCGUUGAUCUUCAACUAAACUCCUUCUCUCCACUCUAUCUCUAUCUUUUUAUUUUAUUUUCUACCUAUUUUUUUAUUUUUUAUCAGCUCAAGUAGCCGGAAACUCACACAGUGGUCUGGACGUGUCUUAGAUGAUCCCCAAUUAGUGUAAUGACGCCCUGGUGGUUCCUGAUUAAUGUGGGGGGUCCCAAUUAGCUCUAAUUGCUAAUUAAUGGCGUCCAGGCGACUGUGUGACUUGCCGGAUACUUGAGCUGAUCCCAUACUACUUGUAAUGCCAUGUAACCUUUUCCCACUCAUUUUAAUCCAAGUGCAACAGCAAAUUCAUUUACGUGCCAUAGACAUUUCUUCACACAUGGAUUAGUUUUAGCAUUUUGGUUAAGAUGUAGAUGGGUUUCCUCCCCGUCGGUUAAGUUUUCAUACAGCUUUGCAUUCAACAUCACUCGUGACAUUCACUGAAAUUGUUCAUACUUAUGAAAUGCAGAAAGGUGGACACAGUUCUGCCUAGUGCCCAUUAAUUCAGUUGAUACCGUAUGUAAUGCCAUGUACCACAAUCAGGUUUUCCCACUCAUUUUAAUCCAAGUGCCACAGCAAAUUCAUUUACUUGCCAUAGACAUUUCUUCACACAUGGAUUAGUUUUAGCAUUUUGGUUAAGAUGUAGAUGGGUUUCCUCCCCGUCGGUUAAGUUUUCAUACAGCUUUGCAUUCAACAUCACUCGUGACAUUCACUGAAAUUGUUCAUACUUAUGAAAUGCAGAAAGGUGGACACAGUUCUGCCUAGUGCCCAUUAAUUCAGUUGAUACCGUAAGUAAUGCCAUGUACCACAAUCAGGUUUUCCCACUCAUUUUAAUCCAAGUGCCACAGCAAAUUCAUUUACUUGCCAUAGACAUUUCUUCACACAUGGAUUAGUUUUAGCAUUUUGGUUAAGAUGUAGAUGGGUUUCCUCCCCGUCGGUUAAGUUUUCAUACAGCUUUGCAUUCAACAUCACUCGUGACAUUCACUGAAAUUGUUCAUACUUAUGAAAUGCAGAAAAGUGGACACAGUUCUGCCUAGUGCCCAUUAAUUCAGUUGAUACCGUAUGUAAUGCCAUGCACCACAAUCAGGUUUUCCCACUCAUUUUAAUCCAAGUGCCACAGCAAAUUCAUUUGCGUGCCAUAGACAUUUCUUCACACAUGGAUUAGUUUUGGCAUUUUGGUUAAGAUGUAGAUGGGUUUCCUCCCCGUCGGUUAAGUUCUCAUACAGCUUUGCAUUCAACAUCACUCGUGACAUUCACUGAAAUUGUUCAUACUUAUGAAAUGCAGAAAAGUGGACACAGUUCUGCCUAGUGCCCAUGAAUUCAGUUGAUACCGUAUGUAAUGCCAUGUAACCUUUCCCCACUCAUUUUAAUCCAAGUGCCACAGUAAAUUCAUUUACGUGCCAUAGACAUUUCUUCACACAUGGAUUAGUUUUAGCAUUUUGGUUAAGAUGUAGAUGGGUUUCCUCCCCGUCGGUUAAGUUUUCAUACAGCUUUGCAUUCAACAUCACUCGUGACAUUCACUGAAAUUGUUCAUACUUAUGAAAUGCAGAAAAGUGGACACAGUUCUGCCUAGUGCCCAUUAAUUCAGUUGAUACCGUAUGUAAUGCCAUGUACCACAAUCAGGUUUUCCCACUCAUUUUAAUCCAAGUGCCACAGCAAAUUCAUUUACUUGCCAUAGACAUUUCUUCACACAUGGAUUAGUUUUAGCAUUUUGGUUAAGAUGUAGAUGGGUUUCCUCCCCGUCGGUUAAGUUUUCAUACAGCUUUGCAUUCAACAUCACUCGUGACAUUCACUGAAAUUGUUCAUAUUUAUGAAAUGCAGAAAAGUGGACACAGUUCUGCCUAGUGCCCAUUAAUUCAGUUGAUACCGUAUGUAAUGCCAUGUACCACAAUCAGGUUUUCCCACUCAUUUUAAUCCAAGUGCCACAGCAAAUUCAUUUGCGUGCCAUAGACAUUUCUUCACACAUGGAUUAGUUUUGGCAUUUUGGUUAAGAUGUAGAUGGGUUUCCUCCCCGUCGGUUAAGUUUUCAUACAGCUUUGCAUUCAACAUCACUCGUGACAUUCACUGAAAUUGUUCAUACUUAUGAAAUGCAGAAAAGUGGACACAGUUCUGCCUAGUGCCCAUGAAUUCAGUUGAUACCGUAUGUAAUGCCAUGUACCACAAUCAGAUUUUCCCACUCAUUUUAAUCCAAGUGCCACAGCAAAUUCAUUUACUUGCCAUAGACAUUUCUUCACACAUGGAUUAGUUUUAGCAUUUUGGUUCAGAUGUAGAUGGGUUUCCUCCCCGUCAGUUAAGUUUUCAUACAGCUUUGCAUUCAACAUCACUCGUGACAUUCACUGAAAUUGUUCAUACUUAUGAAAUGCAGAAAAGUGGACACAGUUCUGCCUAGUGCCCAUGAAUUCAGUUGAUACCGUAUGUAAUGCCAUGUAACCUUUUCCCACUCAUUUUAAUCCAAGUGCCACAGCAAAUUCAUUUACGUGCCAUAGACAUUUCUUCACACAUGGAUUAGUUCUGGCAUUUUGGUUAAGAUGUAGAUGGGUUUCCUCCCCGUCGGUUAAGUUUUCAUACAGCUUUGCAUUCAACAUCACUCGUGACAUUCACUGAAAUUGCUCAUACUUAUGAAAUGCAGGAAAGUGGACACAGUUCUGCCUAGUGCCCAUGAAUUCAGUUGAUACCGUAUGUAAUGCCAUGUACCACAAUCAGGUUUUCCCACUCAUUUUAAUCCAAGUGCCACAGCAAAUUCAUUUACUUGCCAUAGACAUUUCUUCACACAUGGAUUAGUUUUAGGAUUUUGGUUAAGAUGUAGAUGGGUUUCCUCCCCGUCGGUUAAGUUUUCAUACAGCUUUGCAUUCAACAUCACUCGUGACAUUCACUGAAAUUGCUCAUACUUAUGAAAUGCAGGAAAGUGGACACAGUUCUGCCUAGUGCCCACGAAUUCAGUUGAUACCUUAUGUAAUGACAUGUACCACAAUCAGGUUUUCCCACUCAUUUUAAUCCAAGUGCCACAGCAAUUCAUUUACGUGCCAUAUACAUUUCUUCACACAUGGAUUAGGUUUGGCAUGUUGGUUAAGAUGUAGAUGGGUUUCCUUCCCAUCGGUUAAGUUUUCAUCAUGUUACAUUACCUGUGCUCCUUUUCUUUUCUUUUUUCUUUUUGUGUGGUAGGUUUGCGAUGCGUCUCGUCGGAUACUAUAUAUGACUGCCAGGUAGUAUGGGUGUUGUCACGACUCAUGUGUCCCUAAUGCAUGUGAGCUGCGCAAAAGAGCAACAGCAGGCUUUUUCAAAAAUGAGGAGUGGCCGAUAGGUGAUAGUUGGAUAUCCCCUGGAAGCUUGGCUUAUGACCCCUGUCAGGUCCCCGACAACUGCAGAAGAGAAUGCCGAUAAUGCUGCCCACAUGACAACGUGGUGUCACAUCGAACAGUGUUGUGGAGUCCUCAAAAUGCGGUUCCGUUGCCUACAACGUUACAGGACCCAUCACUUUUCUCCAGACCGGUCAUGCAAUAUCAUUACAAUAUGUGCUAUUGUUCACAACCUAUGCCUCGCAUACAAUAUCAGUGACCCUCCAGAGAGCAGUGAGGAGUGCAACUCACGGGAUGCGCGCGAAAUCAGCCAAGAAAGCCCCGAAGAGUAAGAAGUGCUCCGUGGAAACAGUCGUAGUUUUUAGAUCACGCAGCUGCUUUUUCUUUUUUUUAUGUGUGUGUGGUUUUAAGUGUUUCAACUGUCCUACUCUGAAAUAAAUAAGUGUGUACAAUCCCUAUUAAAAAUUCCA